Molecule: ribosomal RNA, 1118 nt
Filed under: Staphylococcus aureus
Lineage: Bacteria; Bacillati; Bacillota; Bacilli; Caryophanales; Staphylococcaceae
Description: partial 23S ribosomal RNA
Rfam family: Bacterial large subunit ribosomal RNA
Source: RNAcentral
CUGGGAGGACCAUCUCCUAAGGCUAAAUACUCUCUAGUGACCGAUAGUGAACCAGUACCGUGAGGGAAAGGUGAAAAGCACCCCGGAAGGGGAGUGAAAUAGAACCUGAAACCGUGUGCUUACAAGUAGUCAGAGCCCGUUAAUGGGUGAUGGCGUGCCUUUUGUAGAAUGAACCGGCGAGUUACGAUUUGAUGCAAGGUUAAGCAGUAAAUGUGGAGCCGUAGCGAAAGCGAGUCUGAAUAGGGCGUUUAGUAUUUGGUCGUAGACCCGAAACCAGGUGAUCUACCCUUGGUCAGGUUGAAGUUCAGGUAACACUGAAUGGAGGACCGAACCGACUUACGUUGAAAAGUGAGCGGAUGAACUGAGGGUAGCGGAGAAAUUCCAAUCGAACCUGGAGAUAGCUGGUUCUCUCCGAAAUAGCUUUAGGGCUAGCCUCAAGUGAUGAUUAUUGGAGGUAGAGCACUGUUUGGACGAGGGGCCCCUCUCGGGUUACCGAAUUCAGACAAACUCCGAAUGCCAAUUAAUUUAACUUGGGAGUCAGAACAUGGGUGAUAAGGUCCGUGUUCGAAAGGGAAACAGCCCAGACCACCAGCUAAGGUCCCAAAAUAUAUGUUAAGUGGAAAAGGAUGUGGCGUUGCCCAGACAACUAGGAUGUUGGCUUAGAAGCAGCCAUCAUUUAAAGAGUGCGUAAUAGCUCACUAGUCGAGUGACACUGCGCCGAAAAUGUACCGGGGCUAAACAUAUUACCGAAGCUGUGGAUUGUCCUUUGGACAAUGGUAGGAGAGCGUUCUAAGGGCGUUGAAGCAUGAUCGUAAGGACAUGUGGAGCGCUUAGAAGUGAGAAUGCCGGUGUGAGUAGCGAAAGACGGGUGAGAAUCCCGUCCACCGAUUGACUAAGGUUUCCAGAGGAAGGCUCGUCCGCUCUGGGUUAGUCGGGUCCUAAGCUGAGGCCGACAGGCGUAGGCGAUGGAUAACAGGUUGAUAUUCCUGUACCACCUAUAAUCGUUUUAAUCGAUGGGGGGACGCAGUAGGAUAGGCGAAGCGUGCGAUUGGAUUGCACGUCUAAGCAGUAAGGCUGAGUAUUAGGCAAAUCCGGUACUCGUUAAGGCUGAGCUGUGA